UCGAACAAGCAGGGGGAAACAAGGGUGAAACCCUUGUUUACUAAAUUCAAUCAAUUGGAUAGGAGAUUUGAUGAUAAUCAACUGCAUGAACUCGAAUUUACACUCAUCUAAACUCGAUUAUUGAAGUGGCGUGAAAGAAGAAGGUUCCAACACUAGGAAAUCGGAAAGUUCACAAGAUCGAGGUAAAUCCUCACUUUAGACGACUUGGCAAUUUGGAGCGAGCUCAUGCACACGUUAUGACCAUCAAGCGCUUUCUCGUUAUUCUGUAUUAAUGUUUUGGGUCAAAAUGCUCGUUUUGUGUAACUUGUUAGUCGUUGCACUUUUUAACACUUGAUGUUAUGGUUUUUAGUCGUGUCUAGUCAAACGGGUUGUAGACUUAUUUGUUUUGAUGAUGGUUAAAACAGGGAUAUGCUCGUCUUAUGGACGGGUCAUGCCCAAAUUUUGUUAAAAUCGUGCAUA
Long non-coding RNA from Helianthus annuus (common sunflower), 459 nucleotides. RefSeq lists it as uncharacterized. The transcript is spliced from 3 exons. NCBI's taxonomy places the organism in Eukaryota, Viridiplantae, Streptophyta, Magnoliopsida, Asterales, Asteraceae. The record is from RefSeq and is a predicted model, not a curated record.